This 320-nucleotide ribosomal RNA is filed under the name uncultured eukaryote. RNAcentral's name for it is "partial 18S ribosomal RNA". It matches the Rfam family "Eukaryotic small subunit ribosomal RNA", at positions 1470 to 1796 of the family's 1831-position model. The record is from RNAcentral.
CCCCUAGAUGUUCUGGGCCGCACGCGCGCUACACUGAACAGUUCAACAAGUCUUAACCUUGGCCGAUAGGUCUGGGUAAUCUUUGAACGCUGUUCGUGAUUGGGAUAGACCUUUGCAAUUAUGGGUCUUCAACGAGGAAUUCCUAGUAAACGCAAGUCAUCAGCUUGCAUUGAUUACGUCCCUGCCCUUUGUACACACCGCCCGUCGCACCUACCGAUUGAGUGGUCCGGUGAAAUCUCGGGACGGCGGCUUGGUCGCUUGCGUCCGACUGCUGAAACUUGAUUAAACCAUAUCAUUUAGAGGAAGGUGAANUCGUAACA